This 867-nucleotide long non-coding RNA is filed under the name Helianthus annuus (common sunflower). The record is from RNAcentral. Lineage: Eukaryota; Viridiplantae; Streptophyta; Magnoliopsida; Asterales; Asteraceae.
AAAGAUCAAUCGUCUGUUUCUCGUGAUUAGUUUUGCACUCUUUGUCAUAAGUGUGCAGAUUGAGAUUGUUGUUUGUCUACUAAAAUUACAAAUUGUUUUUACAGGAAUCAAGGGAGGAGAAUCGGCUUCGGUAUCCUAUGCGAUCAGCCACCAAAUCUGACGAUGAGAAGCUUCCUGUAUCCGUUCCGUCAAUUGCUUAGACGUCUAGAAGGUUUAAUAUUGGUUGUCAUUGGAAUGAAUGUUGCUGCAUCUGAAUUCUAUGGAAAAGACAAGACGUGAUUUGGACUUCAAGGAAGAGGUAACAACAACGGGUCUCAAAAAAUAUCCGAAGUGCAGCUCAAAGAUCUCUAUAAAUCGUUUGUGAGCGAGUACCCUAUUACUCAAAGGUUAACCAAAUUGGAUCUGUUACUGGGAGCAAUGAAGCUGUGAAAAUGCCAAAGCAUGCUGGUUGGGGUGUUAGACUAUGGGGGGUAGAGGAGGGUAGUCCUUAAAGGAUGGUUCGCCAUGUAGACGGCCACGUAAGCGGGUGUGAGUAUGAGCCUAAAGGGAUGGGCUAGGGGUGUGGAGGAUGAGCCCCUUUUUAUAUACAUACGUAUGUAUGUAUAGUUGUGUGUGUGUGUGUUGGAUAAAGAAGUGAGGGCCAGCUUCAAUGUCUAGGGGAGAACGGGGACGACCCGGUGGGCGGUGCGCAGGCCGUCGCCGCUCCUCGACGCACCGGGACAAGCCCCAUGGGGAAAUAUAUAUUAUAUAAUAUGCGUUUUCAGUUGUUUUUGCAACUUCAUUUUUUUAUUAAUAAUAUUAUAGUGGUGUCACAAUGGGGAAACAAAGGAUACCUUCAUUGCUGAUCUCUCUGUUGGUUUAGUGACG